Molecule: ribosomal RNA, 472 nt
Filed under: uncultured bacterium
Lineage: Bacteria
Description: partial 16S ribosomal RNA
Rfam family: Bacterial small subunit ribosomal RNA
Source: RNAcentral
GAUGAACGCUGGCGGCGUGCCUAAUACAUGCAAGUCGAGCGAACAGACGAGGAGCUUGCUCCUCUGACGUUAGCGGCGGACGGGUGAGUAACACGUGGAUAACCUACCUAUAAGACUGGGAUAACUUCGGGAAACCGGAGCUAAUACCGGAUAAUAUAUUGAACCGCAUGGUUCAAUAGUGAAAGACGGUUUUGCUGUCACUUAUAGAUGGAUCCGCGCCGCAUUAGCUAGUUGGUAAGGUAACGGCUUACCAAGGCAACGAUGCGUAGACGACCUGAGAGGGUGAGCAGGCACACUGGGAGGGAGACACGGCACAGAGUACUACGGGAGGAAGCAGUGGGGAAUAUGGGAGAAUGGGCGAAAGACUAAUACAGAAAUGACGCGUGAGUGAUGAAGGCAUUAGGGUUGUAAAGCUAUUUUACCCGGGAUGAUAAUGACAGGACCGAAAGAAUAAGAUACGGCUAACUCCGUG